Suricata suricatta (meerkat) is the source of this 658-nucleotide long non-coding RNA. RefSeq lists it as uncharacterized. The transcript is spliced from 3 exons. NCBI's taxonomy places the organism in Eukaryota, Metazoa, Chordata, Mammalia, Carnivora, Herpestidae. The record is from RefSeq and is a predicted model, not a curated record.
CAAAGUGAUUCGAUCUGAACCAACACUUAGAAAAAUUUUAACAUUUCCCCUCCAAAUGAUUGCUGAAAGAUGGCCAACUUUAGGAGCUUAAAGAAAAUUGCAAGAGUCAACAAAAAAAAAGCAGAAAAAAACAACCAAGCCACUGUUAAGAGGACUCUGUGGAGAAGAAUCUAGGCCCCAGCCCAACUCUCCAGGUUCCACAUUUAUGUGAAAUCAUAUGAUAUUUGCAUUUACAGUAAACCAUAAGACAGAGGCAUUACCCAGGUAGGCCUGAUCUAAUCUCAUGGGCCAUUAAAAGCAAAGAGUUUUCCCUGCCUGGCUGUAGAAGAGAGAUAAGGUCAGAAAUGUGAACCAUGAGAGGGUAUAAUGUACCACUGCUGGCUCUGAAGAUGGAGGGAGCCUGGGCAAGGAUGAGACAGAGGGCUUUAGCUGCUGACAAUGAGUUCUAGCCAACAACUAGCAAGGUCCUACAACAAGGACCUGAUUUCACCAGCAACCUGAAAAAGCCUAGAAGUGGAUUCUUUCCCAGAGCCUCUACACAGUUCCCUCUGUCCAGAACCUUGAUUUGGGCCUUGUGAUAUCCUUAGGCAUACAGUCCAGCCCAGUCACCUUAGAGUCAUCUACGGAACUGUGAGCUAAUAAAUGACUGCUGUUUUAA